GCGUCGUUCCACUCCACUACUUGGGCGGCGCACAAGAAAAAAAGGAGGUCAGCUAUCCGUUGGCCUGCGGUGCGGCAGCGUGGAGACCUGCCGUAAUGCGGAGUGCCACUUUGCGGGCACCUGCGAGGCGGCGAUGCGUGGGCAUUUCCGUCAAGGCCGGGUAUUAUGU
RNAcentral lists this non-coding RNA (169 nucleotides) under bovine gut metagenome. Its description in RNAcentral is "malK-I RNA". It matches the Rfam family "malK-I RNA". The record is from RNAcentral.